GUGGGGAAUCUUCCGCAAUGGACGAAAGUCUGACGGAGCAACGCCGCGUGAGUGAUGAAGGUCUUCGGAUUGUAAAGCUCUGUUAAUCGGGACGAAAGAGCCUAGUGUGAAUAAUGCUAGGAAGUGACGGUACCGGAAUAGAAAGCCACGGCUAACUACGUGCCAGCAGCCGCGGUAAUACGUAGGUGGCAAGCGUUGUCCGGAAUUAUUGGGCGUAAAGCGCGCGCAGGCGGAUCUGCCAGUCUGUCUUAAAAGUUCGGGGCUUAACCCCGUGAUGGGAUGGAAACUACAUAUCUAGAGUAUCGGAGAGCAAAGUGGAAUUCCUAGUGUAGCGGUGAAAUGCGUAGAUAUUAGGAAGAACACCAGUGGCGAAGGCGACUUUCUGGACGAAAACUGACGCUGAGGCGCGAAAGCCAGGGGAGCGAACGGGAUUAGAAACCCGGGUAGUCC
This 450-nucleotide ribosomal RNA is filed under the name uncultured bacterium. RNAcentral's name for it is "partial 16S ribosomal RNA". It matches the Rfam family "Bacterial small subunit ribosomal RNA", at positions 354 to 796 of the family's 1533-position model. The record is from RNAcentral.